This is an RNA transcript of Quercus robur (English oak), 922 nucleotides long. RefSeq lists it as uncharacterized. The transcript is spliced from 3 exons. The record is from RefSeq and is a predicted model, not a curated record. Lineage: Eukaryota; Viridiplantae; Streptophyta; Magnoliopsida; Fagales; Fagaceae.
AGCUCAUUAAGUGCAUGCAAAAGUCCUUUAAAAUAUUUUUCACCAAAAUACACCAUUCACCAAAAUACACAAAAAUCUCUCCAUCUGGUGAAUCAUUUUUCAAAAUAUUUUACAUCUAAAUAUAGAUGUUACUGUAGCAACAUCUAUAUCAUUUUUUAUUAGAAUACCUUCCGUCCGGAGCUGGCAUAAACUAACUCUUUUACACCACCAAUAAUAUAGUGCCACAUCAGCUUUUUAAUGAAAAGGCAAUACAUUCUAAUACACUCAAUCACAGCUCACAUAAACCUUCAAUCCUCAAUCAAACUACACGAUAGUCUCAAACAAACCCCAAAUCAGAUUCCUCCUCUCCUCUUAGCAUCGGAGCUCCACCUCGCCGCUGCACACGUCGUCUCUGGAGCUGGCGCCGCCGCACCGAACUCAAGGAAGUGUUCAAGACUCAAGAGAGCCAUUCUACAGCCUACACCACCUUAAAGUUUUGCACUACAGAAUGUUCAGGAAGUUAUAAAACUUCAAGUCUCAACCCAAACAAGUGUUGUUGGAAGUAGUGGAGUUGGUAGGUAUGGAAACGGAGUUGGAGCUGGAAAAGGAAUUGGAACUGGUGUUGGAAAAGGAAGAGCUGGAAAUUAAGCUAGAAAAGAUUGAAGGGUAGUAGCAGUGUUAGUUUUGUUGGACCUUUUAUAUAUUAGGACCUUUGAUUGUUUGAACCUUUUAUGGUUACUGUUUUGUACAGCUGUCCAUAAGCUUAUUUGAUGGUGUUAAUGGACAAAAGUAACCUAUUUUAUGUUGAUCUUAGGUAGGACCUUUGGUUAAGCUUAUAUGAUGGUGAUAUUGGACAUAAGUAUCCUAUUUUUUGUUGGAUAAUAGUUUACAAAGCCUUUAUGUUAACAACUAAGUAUUAAAGCAACUCGACUAAAUUUAUUUA